AUCGCUUCUCGGCCUUUUGGCUAAGAUCAAGUGUAAUAUCCCUAAAGCUACAGCUUUUUCUAUCUUUUGAGAUAUCAACCCAA
This 83-nucleotide small nuclear RNA is filed under the name Myotis brandtii (Brandt's bat). Its description in RNAcentral is "U2 spliceosomal RNA". Lineage: Eukaryota; Metazoa; Chordata; Mammalia; Chiroptera; Vespertilionidae. The record is from Rfam by way of RNAcentral.